This 253-nucleotide ribosomal RNA is filed under the name uncultured bacterium. Its description in RNAcentral is "partial 16S ribosomal RNA". It matches the Rfam family "Bacterial small subunit ribosomal RNA", at positions 524 to 776 of the family's 1533-position model. The record is from RNAcentral.
UACGUAGGGUGCAAGCGUUGUCCGGAAUUAUUGGGCGUAAAGAGCUCGUAGGCGGCUUGUCGCGUCGUCCGUGAAAACCCACAGCUCAACUGUGGGCUUGCGGUCGAUACGGGCAGGCUAGAGUUCGGUAGGGGAGACUGGAAUUCCUGGUGUAGCGGUGAAAUGCGCAGAUAUCAGGAGGAACACCGGUGGCGAAGGCGGGUCUCUGGGCAGUAACUGACGCUGAGGAGCGAAAGCGUGGGGAGCGAACAGG